This 1418-nucleotide small RNA is filed under the name Arabidopsis thaliana (thale cress). Its description in RNAcentral is "ATSL060360". Lineage: Eukaryota; Viridiplantae; Streptophyta; Magnoliopsida; Brassicales; Brassicaceae. The record is from RNAcentral.
CCGUGUGGUCGCUUUUGUCUGGUUGGUACAUGUCUCACUUGUGAUUUGGUCGGGGGAAAAAAUAAAAUAAUAAUAAAUAACAUGUCUCACUUGUGAGAAACUAUAAACCUCCAAAAAAAAAAAAUUCAAGAACGAAAGAGAAGGAACCGAUACAAUUAGUCGCACAUAUCCUUCAUAGAGUUGGGUGACGAUAUAGAUAGUCUUUUUUGACGAUAUAGAGUUGGGUUAUUUAAGUUUGUAUCAGUAGUCUAAACAUCUUAGAAGCAGGUCUUUUUGGGAUGUGGCUCCUUCCCCAUCAGAUCCUUGGUCUUGGCGUAUGCUCUUGUUCCUUAGACCUUUGGCGGAGCAAUUUGUUAAAUGCAACUUGGGUAAUGGCCGCAUAGCUCACUUCUGGCAUGACAGUUGGACUUCCCUUGGCCCGCUGAUAAAGGUUAUGGGUGAUUAUGGCUCCAGAUCACUUCGCAUCCCUCUUAACGCUAGGGUGGUUGAGGCUCUUGGGGUUAAUGGCUGGAAGCUCCCCCUUUCUCGGUCUGCUCCAGCUCAAGCCAUCCAUGACCACAUCUCUACCAUCACGACCCCCUCUCCUGCUACAAUUGAAGACUCCUUUGAUUGGGUUGUUGGUGGUGUUGUUUGUCAAGGUUUCUCUUCGGCAAGGACUUGGGAUGCUAUUAGACCAAGAGCACCGGAAUUGGACUGGGCAAAGGCUGUUUGGUUCAAGGGUGCUGUUCCUAAGCAUGCCUUCAACAUGUGGAUUAGUCAGUUGGAUAGACUCCCAACUCGUCAAAGGCUAGCCUCUUGGGGCCAUAUCCAGUCUUUCGAUUGUUGCUUAUGCACUAUUGAGACUGAAUCCAGAGACCAUCUCCUUUUUUCCUGUGAAUUUGCGGCUCAAGUUUGGAGAUUAGCGUUUUCUCGCUUAUGUCCGCGUCAGAGGCUGUUUUGCUCUUGGGCAGAGCUCCUCUCUUGGAUGCGUUCUUCCUCUUCUUCGGCGCCUUCCCUCCUCAGAAAAGUCUCAGCCCAUGCUAUCAUCUACAACAUUUGGCGUCAGCGCAACAAUGUCCUCCAUAACAAUCUUAGGAUCGCUCCUAUUAUCAUCUUCAAGAUUGUCGACCGCGAGAUUCGUAACAUCAUCUCCUCUCGUUACCACAGAAAGAGAUGGCGCAACCUCAUGGUGCUUUGGAUUCGCUAACCUUAUAUCUUCCCUAAAUCUCUAUUGUAGCCUUGUUUUAUUUUUUGCCUCGGCUACUCUUGUAUAGGCCUUUCGUUUUUGUAAAAGCCUCUUAUUCAUAUAAUGAAAAUUAACAUUUUUAGCAAAAAAAAAGUCUAAACAUAACUUUCUUUAUAGAGUUUGGUCAAAAUGUAUGAAAUGUAAAUUGAAGUUCUCACUUGGGGAACUCUAUACAUUAUUUACUCUUAAAGGC